RNAcentral lists this ribosomal RNA (255 nucleotides) under uncultured bacterium. RNAcentral's name for it is "partial 16S ribosomal RNA". It matches the Rfam family "Bacterial small subunit ribosomal RNA", at positions 524 to 776 of the family's 1533-position model. The record is from RNAcentral.
UACGUAGGGCGCAAGCGUUGUCCGGAAUUAUUGGGCGUAAAGAGCUCGUAGGCGGUUUGUCGCGUCUGCCGUGAAAACCCGAGGCUUAACCUCGUGGCUUGCGGUGGAUACGGGCAGACUAGAGGCAGGUAGGGGGAAGCGGAAUUCCCGGUGUAGUGGUGGAAUGCGUAGAUACUCAGGAGGAACACCGGUGGCGAAGGCGGGUCUCUGGGCCGAUAUUGACGCUGAGGAGCGAAAGCGUGGGGAGCAAACAGG